AUUGAACGCUGGCGGCAGGCCUAACACAUGCAAGUCGAGCGGAUGAAGGGAGCUUGCUCCUGUAUUCAGCGGCGGACGGGUGAGUAAUGCCUAUGAAUCUGCCUGGUCGUGGGGGAUAACGUCCGGAAACGGGCGCUAAUACCUCAUACUUCCUGCGGGAGCAAGUGGGGGAUCUUCGGACCUCACGCUAUCAGAUGAGCCUAGGCCGGAUUAGCUAGUUGGUGGGGUAAAGGCCUACCAAGGCGACGAUCCGUAACUGGUCUGAGAGGAUGAUCAGUCACACUGGAAGUGAGACACGGUCCAGACUCCGACGGGAGGAAGCAGGGGGGAAUAUUGGACGAUGGGCGAAAGCAUGAUAAAGCAAUGCCGCGUGUGUGAAGAAGGUGUUCGGAUUGUAAAGCACAUUAAGUUGGGAGGAAGGGAAGUAAGUUAAUACCUGGAUGUUUUGACGGUACCAACAGAAUAAGCACCGGCUAACUUCGUG
RNAcentral lists this ribosomal RNA (484 nucleotides) under uncultured bacterium. RNAcentral's name for it is "partial 16S ribosomal RNA". It matches the Rfam family "Bacterial small subunit ribosomal RNA", at positions 30 to 507 of the family's 1533-position model. The record is from RNAcentral.